Molecule: ribosomal RNA, 942 nt
Filed under: Lactiplantibacillus plantarum
Lineage: Bacteria; Bacillati; Bacillota; Bacilli; Lactobacillales; Lactobacillaceae
Description: bacterial SSU rRNA
Rfam family: Bacterial small subunit ribosomal RNA
Source: RNAcentral
CGACCUGAGAGGGUAAUCGGCCACAUUGGGACUGAGACACGGCCCAAACUCCUACGGGAGGCAGCAGUAGGGAAUCUUCCGCAAUGGACGAAAGUCUGAUGGAGCAACGCCGCGUGAGUGAAGAAGGGUUUCGGCUCGUAAAACUCUGUUGUUAAAGAAGAACAUAUCUGAGAGUAACUGUUCAGGUAUUGACGGUAUUUAACCAGAAAGCCACGGCUAACUACGUGCCAUCAGCCGCGGUAAUACGUAGGUGGCAAGCGUUGUCCGGAUUUAUUGGGCGUAAAGCGAGCGCAGGCGGUUUUUUAAGUCUGAUGUGAAAGCCUUCGGCUCAACCGAAGAAGUGCAUCGGAAACUGGGAAACUUGAGUGCAUAAGAGGACAGUGGAACUCCAUGUGUAGCGGUGAAAUGCGUAGAUAUAUGGAAGAACACCACUGGCGAAGGCGGCUGUCUGGUCUGUAACUGACGCUGAGGCUCGAAAGUAUGGGUAGCAAACAGGAUUAGAUACCCUGGUAGUCCAUACCGUAAACGAUGAAUGCUAAGUGUUGGAGGGUUUCCGCCCUUCAGUGCUGCAGCUAACGCAUUAAGCAUUCCGCCUGGGGAGUACGGCCGCAAGGCUGAAACUCAAAGGAAUUGACGGGGGCCCGCACAAGCGGUGGAGCAUGUGGUUUAAUUCGAAGCUACGCGAAGAACCUUACCAGGUCUUGACAUACUAUGCAAAUCUAAGAGAUUAGACGUUCCCUUCGGGGACAUGGAUACAGGUGGUGCAUGGUUGUCGUCAGCUCGUGUCGUGAGAUGUUGGGUUAAGUCCCGCAACGAGCGCAACCCUUAUUAUCAGUUGCCAGCAUUAAGUUGGGCACUCUGGUGAGACUGCCGGUGACAAACCGGAGGAAGGUGGGGAUGACGUCAAAUCAUCAUGCCCCUUAUGACCUGGGCUACACACGU